Non-coding RNA from Ictidomys tridecemlineatus (thirteen-lined ground squirrel), 437 nucleotides. The record is from RefSeq and is a predicted model, not a curated record. Lineage: Eukaryota; Metazoa; Chordata; Mammalia; Rodentia; Sciuridae.
CUUGAAGUUGGUCCCACUGUGUACCAGACUCUAACACUUGGGCAGUGUUAUGCAGUGAUAUCAAUCCAUUUGUACCAGUUUGUUGAGAUAAUGAUCACAAAGCAGGUUGAACAAAGCAACUUUAUUACUCAUGGAGAGGCAGCAAGACUCAAUCGAUGAUGUCUGAGAUGCAAGGUGCUUCUGCUGCUGCUGGCCUGUGACCACAUUUUGAGCAUCACUGGCAUCUAAGAAAAUCUCAAUUGCCUGGCGCUUCUGAGGAAUGCAGUGUUCCCCGUAAAUGACUUAUCCAGAUGAAUGAAGCUUCUCUCUCCAAAUGUCAAGCCUUCAUUUCUUUUAAUCAUAUUUAGAGAACCCUUUCUAGAAUAAAUGUUCCUUUCUUUGCUUUCUGAAAAUACAGGAUUCUGAACAUCAUUAAACCCUUUCUUGAUGACUCAGUA